UGGGGAAUCUUGGACAAUGGGGGCAACCCUGAUCCAGCCAUGCCGCGUGAGUGAUGAAGGCCUUUAGGGUCGUAAAGCUCUUUCGCCUGUGAAGAUAAUGACGGUAGCAGGUAAAGAAACCCCGGCUAACUCCGUGCCAGCAGCCGCGGUAAUACGGAGGGGGUUAGCGUUGUUCGGAAUUACUGGGCGUAAAGCGCACGUAGGCGGACCAGAAAGUUGGGGGUGAAAUCCCGGGGGCUCAACCCCGGAACUGCCUCCAAAACUAUUGGUCUAGAGUUCGAGAGAGGUGAGUGGAAUUCCAAGUGUAGAGGUGAAAUUCGUAGAUAUUUGGAGGAACACCAGUGGCGAAGGCGGCUCACUGGCUCGAUACUGACGCUGAGGUGCGAAAGUGUGGGGAGCAAAACAGGAUUAGAUACCCUGGUAGUCCACACCGUAAAACGAUGAAUGCCAGUCGUCGGGUAGCAUGCUAUUCGGUGACACACCUAACGGAUUAAGCAUUCCGCCUGGGGAGUACGGUCGCAAGAUUAAAA
RNAcentral lists this ribosomal RNA (530 nucleotides) under uncultured bacterium. RNAcentral's name for it is "bacterial SSU rRNA". It matches the Rfam family "Bacterial small subunit ribosomal RNA", at positions 355 to 899 of the family's 1533-position model. The record is from RNAcentral.